RNAcentral lists this ribosomal RNA (484 nucleotides) under uncultured bacterium. RNAcentral's name for it is "partial 16S ribosomal RNA". It matches the Rfam family "Bacterial small subunit ribosomal RNA", at positions 30 to 507 of the family's 1533-position model. The record is from RNAcentral.
AUUGAACGCUGGCGGCGGGCCUAACACAUGCAAGUCGGGCGGAUGAAGGGAGCUUGCUCCUGGAUUCAGCGGCGGACGGGUGAGUAAUGCCUAGGAAUCUGCCUGGUAGUGGGGGAUAACGUCCGGAAACGGGCGCUAAUACCGCAUACGUCCUGAGGGAGAAAGUGGGGGAUCUUCGGACCUCACGCUAUCAGAUGAGCCUAGGUCGGAUUAGCUAGUUGGUGGGGUAAAGGCCUACCAAGGCGACGAUCCGUAACUGGUCUGAGAGGAUGAUCAGUCACACUGGAACUGAGACACGGUCCAGACUCCUACGGGAGGCAGCAGUGGGGAAUAUUGGACAAUGGGCGAAAGCCUGAUCCAGCCAUGCCGCGUGUGUGAAGAAGGUCUUCGGAUUGUAAAGCACUUUAAGUUGGGAGGAAGGGCAGUAAGUUAAUACCUUGCUGUUUUGACGUUACCAACAGAAUAAGCACCGGCUAACUUCGUG